GAUGAAGAACGCAGCGAAAUGCGAUAAGUAGUGUGAAUUGCAGAAUUCAGUGAAUCAUCGAAUCUUUGAACGCACAUUGCGGCCAUAGGUAUUCCUUUGGCCAUGCCUGUUCGAGCGUCAUUUACACCCUCAAGCCUAGCUUGGUGUUGGGCGUCUGUCCCGCCGUUCUCGCGCGCGGACUCGCCUCAAAGUCAUUGGCGGCGGUCGUGCCGGCCCCCUCGCGCAGCACAUUUGCGCUUCUCGGAGGCCCGGCGGAUCCGCGCUCCAGCAAGACCUUUCACGAAUUGACCUCGGAUCAGGUAGGGAUACCCGCUGAACUUAAGCAUAUCAAUAAGCGGAGGA
RNAcentral lists this unclassified non-coding RNA (342 nucleotides) under soil metagenome. RNAcentral's name for it is "partial contains 5.8S ribosomal RNA, internal transcribed spacer 2, and large subunit ribosomal RNA". The stretch from base 1 to 120 matches the Rfam family "5.8S ribosomal RNA", at positions 35 to 154 of the family's 154-position model. The record is from RNAcentral.